CCACGGGGGGCAGCAGUGGGGGAUAUUGGACAAUGGGGGGAACCCUGAUCCAGCGACGCCGCGUGAGUGAAGAAGUAUUUCGGUAUGUAAAGCUCUGUCAGCAGGGGAGAAAGUAAUGACGGUACCUGAACAAGAAGCCCCGGGUAACUCCGUGCCAGCAGCCGCGGUAAUACGUAGGGGGCAAGCGUUAUCCGGACUUGAUGGGCGUAAAGGGAGCGUAGACGGUUAAGUAAGUCUGGUGUGAAAGGCCGGGGCCCAACCCCGGGACUGCUCUCGAAACUAUUUAACUUGAGUGCAGGAGAGGUAAGUUGAAUUCCGAGUGUAGCGGUGAAAUGCGUAGAUAUUAGGAGGAACACCAGUGGCGAAGGCGGCUUACUGGACUGUAACUGACGUUGAGGCUCGAAAGCGUGGGGAGCAAACAGGAUUAGAUACCCGGGUAGUC
RNAcentral lists this ribosomal RNA (442 nucleotides) under uncultured bacterium. Its description in RNAcentral is "partial 16S ribosomal RNA". It matches the Rfam family "Bacterial small subunit ribosomal RNA", at positions 339 to 795 of the family's 1533-position model. The record is from RNAcentral.